CCUACGGGAGGCAGCAGUGAGGAAUAUUGGUCAAUGGGCGAGAGCCUGAACCAGCCGUCCCGCGUGCAGGAUGACGGCCCUAUGGGUUGUAAACUGCUUUUCUGCUCCAAGAAACCCACUUACGUGUAGGUGGUUGACGGUAGAGUAGGAAUAAGCAUCGGCUAACUCCGUGCCAGCAGCCGCGGUAAUACGGAGGAUGCAAGCGUUAUCCGGAUUCAUUGGGUUUAAAGGGUGCGCAGGUGGGAAUGUAAGUCAGUGGUGAAAUACUGCCGCUUAACGGUAGAGCUGCCAUUGAUACUGCGUUUCUUGAGUAUGGUUGAGGUAGGUGGAAUGUGUUGUGUAGCGGUGAAAUGCAUAGAUAUGACACAGAACGCCGAUUGCGAAGGCAACUUACUAAGCCAUUACUGACGCUGAGGCACGAAAGCGUGGGUAGCGAACAGGAUUAGAUACCCUGGUAGUCCACGCCGUAAACGAUGUUCACUCGCUGUUUGCGAUACACAGUAAGCGGCUGAGCGAAAGCAUUAAGUGAACCACCUGGGGAGUACGAUCGCAAGGUUGAAACUCAAAGGAAUUGACGG
RNAcentral lists this ribosomal RNA (578 nucleotides) under uncultured bacterium. RNAcentral describes it as "bacterial SSU rRNA". It matches the Rfam family "Bacterial small subunit ribosomal RNA", at positions 338 to 916 of the family's 1533-position model. The record is from RNAcentral.